AGUGACGUACGCCCGGUUGCCCGGCCCCUCCCGGAAGUGCGCGACGGACCCGCAGGCCCAGCCCAGCAGCUCCAGCCAUGUAGCCACCGUUCGCGGCGCGAGGGGGGCGGUGCGUCGGCGCUGCCAUGGAGCCGCUAGACAACAGGGAUCCUCUUUUUCCUCCACCUAAUGAGACUGCAGACCUUCCACUGCCAAAUUUAACACCAAGGCAUCAAGAACUUAUUCCUACGCCCUGUGGCCCUAUAAAACCUUGGUCAGAAUUAUCCUCCCCUGUCAAGAUCUACUUCUGUGUAACUAUCCUCUCUCUACUGAGUGUAAUAGGAAUAACCACAGAGACCCUCUUUCAACAGACUCAUGAAGAUUUCACCAUUUCUCUUAUACAGUUAAUUGGAGUUGUGUUCUGCGUGUACUAUGUAACCAGAGGGAUCCUGCAGGAGAAUCGCCAAGAGCUCAUUGUCUUCGUUCUCUCCAUCUUGCUGGUGAUGUUUCGAUCCAUUGUCAACUUCACAGUUGUCUCUGCUCAACAAAAGCCAAACGUCCUGGCCCGCUUCAUUCUGAUCCUCUUAGUUGGAUCCUUUGACGUGAUCUGCGCCAUCAUCCUCAUUCAGAGUCAAAGCAUGAUGGCCUUCCGAGUGGGCGGGGCUCUAGAAAGCCUCCAGUCACAGUAUUUUAUGCUGAACCUCUGUUUUUCCAUGUUGACCUUUGAUCUUCAGGCACAGCAUCAUCCUAGCAGUUGGCAUCUUCUGGGCUUGCCUAAAAGUGACCGUGGGCAUCAUCGCAAGUUUCAGGUACUGACCACUUGCUGGAGGCAAGAUCCUGGGCUUGAUGGACCUGUGGCUGGUCUGUCCAAACGUAAAUCCUGUGGGGACAGUUAUUCCAGGCAGAUUUUAAAAGAGCUAAAACCUCUGGUCUGGAUUUUUCUGAGUCAGAACAUACCAGAAGUGGCUAAUCUCGUCUACCUGCUCUACAUGGGAGCGGCACUGGAAGUCUCUCCCAUGGCCACAGCAUCAAGAAAGAAGGCAGAAAUCCCCUAGCACAAGAUAUGCAGCUCUUGAUAACACCACCCUCCCUCCCCCAAGAGGUGUCUCUGCAUACAAACAGCUUCUACACCAGCUGCAGGCCCUCAGGGUCGGAAUGUGCUGAAGAUUUCCGUAGGCAGCGCAACCGCCACCCUUUCCUCCAGACACAGCUCAGACAGCAUAGACACAGCAAACUGCAGUGCCAAGGUGCUUAUCACUACGCUGCCCCAUCCGCACCAUUUGCACGAGGAGAGAGGAGGUAGAGAAUGAGCAUGGGGAAGUGCAAAGCAGCUUACUGCACGUCGGAACGGCCUGAAUACUAAGAGGAGUUCAUGUUUUUCACACCGGCCUGAGGGGUCACUGCUGGACAAGCCCCUUCGCUUUGGGUCUGAGCCAGAGAGACAGGGAUGUAAGCCAAAUCCCCCUUGUGGCAGUUCUGAACACUCCCACCAGACCCCUGAGCUUUCUGGACACAUUCCUGUGCUAUUACUUCUUGCAGCCACGCCUCAGUGAACCCCAGUAUUAAUCCCAGGUUUCUGACAGCCACAGGGUCAGCAGAAAUAAUUCACGCUUCUCCAGGAGUGAAAAGCACCAUGCCUGUACUUAAAUAACAGCCCGACAAGAACAAAGCCAGCUGGGAGGGAGGUUCCUUUGGUCAAAAUAAUCCAUCCUCCUUGAGGAGGAAUUGGCAGCACCUGAGCACCGGGGAGCUCGAACAGAGGCCCUAGCCGUGUGAUAAGUCACUGGGGCCAGGAACUUUCCUACGCCCUGGAAGCUGCCGUCAUCAUUGGCUCUUGCAUCUCCAUCGCAAUAAAAUCUGUUCUGUUCUGGGCACUGCUCCAUGUCUAUCGCAGCUUUGGACAG
Molecule: RNA transcript, 1883 nt
Organism: Mauremys mutica (yellowpond turtle)
Lineage: Eukaryota; Metazoa; Chordata; Testudines; Geoemydidae
Exons: 10
Source: RefSeq, a predicted model, not a curated record